UUAUUUGAAACGGGAUACAACCCCUAAUACUGGGUUAAAUCUAGAUAUAUCAAAUAAAGUGGGCCUAAAAGCAGCCAUCUUCCAAAAAGCGUUAAAGCUUAACAUAUUGUAUCUACAAUUCCACAAUUUUUACUUAACCCUUCAUCACUACUGAACUAUUUUAUACCCCUAUAAAAGUCAUUAUGCUAGAACUAGUAACAAGAAAUUGCCCUUCUCCAAAAUGUAUGUUUAAACCAAAAUGGACACUCCACUGGUAGUUAACGUAAAUGUAAAAAUCAUAGCACCAUAUACUAGAAAACCCUAUGACUCCCCAACGUCAACCUUACACUAGAACAUUACAGGAAAGAUUAAAAGAGAAAGAAGGAACUCGGCAAACCACAGUCCCGCCUGUUUACCAAAAACACCGCCUCUUGCUCCAAAUAUAAGAGGUCCAGCCUGCCCAGUGACAUAGUUUAACGGCCGCGGUACCCUAACCGUGCGAAGGUAGCAUAAUCACUUGUUCUUUAAAUAAGGACUCGUAUCAACGGCAUCACGAGGGCUGUACUGUCUCCUUUCUCCAAUCAGUGAAACUGAUCUCCCCGUGAAGAAGCGGGGAUUGACCU
This 602-nucleotide ribosomal RNA is filed under the name Amolops mantzorum (Kangting sucker frog). RNAcentral describes it as "partial 16S ribosomal RNA". It matches the Rfam family "Bacterial large subunit ribosomal RNA", at positions 1006 to 2074 of the family's 2925-position model. Lineage: Eukaryota; Metazoa; Chordata; Amphibia; Anura; Ranidae. The record is from RNAcentral.